This 74-nucleotide transfer RNA is filed under the name Chloroflexota bacterium. Its description in RNAcentral is "Chloroflexi bacterium (mine drainage metagenome) tRNA-Arg". It matches the Rfam family "tRNA". From Rfam's summary of the family: Transfer RNA (tRNA) molecules are approximately 80 nucleotides in length. Their secondary structure includes four short double-helical elements and three loops (D, anti-codon, and T loops). RNAcentral also lists the same sequence under 2 other names. The record is from RNAcentral. Lineage: Bacteria; Bacillati; Chloroflexota.
GCCCUCAUAGCUCAGGUGGAUAGAGCGCGGCCCUUCUAAUGCCUAGGUCGGGAGUUCGAGUCUCUCUGAGGGCG